CCCGGGCGCACGGGUGAGUAACACGUAUGCAAUCCACCUGUAACAGGGGGAGUAACCCGGAGAAAUCCGGACUAAUACCCCAUAAUAUGGGCGCUCCGCAUGGAGAGCCCAUUAAAGAGAGCAAUUUUGGUUACAGACGAGCGUGCGCUCCAUUAGCCAGUUGGCGGGGUAACGGCCCACCAAAGCGACGAUGGAUAGGGGUUCUGAGAGGAAGGUCCCCCACAUUGGAACUGAGACACGGUCCAA
Molecule: ribosomal RNA, 246 nt
Filed under: uncultured bacterium
Lineage: Bacteria
Description: partial 16S ribosomal RNA
Rfam family: Bacterial small subunit ribosomal RNA
Source: RNAcentral